This 802-nucleotide ribosomal RNA is filed under the name uncultured Edaphobacter sp. RNAcentral's name for it is "bacterial SSU rRNA". It matches the Rfam family "Bacterial small subunit ribosomal RNA", at positions 9 to 842 of the family's 1533-position model. The record is from RNAcentral. Lineage: Bacteria; Pseudomonadati; Acidobacteriota; Terriglobia; Terriglobales; Acidobacteriaceae.
GAGUUUGAUCAUGGCUCAGAAAUCAACGCUGGCGGCGUGCCAAACACAUGCAAGUCGCACGAGAAAGUGGAGCAAUCCAUGAGUAAAGUGGCGCACGGGUGAGUAACACGUGAAUUAUCUACCUCCGAGUGGGGAAUAACUUCGGGAAACCGAGGCUAAUACCGCAUAACACUUACGAGUCAAAGCAGCAAUGCGCUUGGAGAGGAGUUCGCGGCAGAUUAGCUAGUUGGUGGGGUAAUGGCCCACCAAGGCGAUGAUCUGUAUCCGGCCUGAGAGGGCGCACGGACACACUGGAACUGAAACACGGUCCAGACUCCUACGGGAGGCAGCAGUGGGGAAUUUUGCGCAAUGGGGGAAACCCUGACGCAGCAACGCCGCGUGGAGGAUGAAAUCCCUUGGGAUGUAAACUCCUUUCGAUCGGGACGAUUAUGACGGUACCGGAAGAAGAAGCCCCGGCUAACUUCGUGCCAGCAGCCGCGGUAAUACGAGGGGGGCGAGCGUUGUUCGGAAUUAUUGGGCGUAAAGGGUGCGUAGGCGGUUUGAUAAGUCAUCUGUGAAAUCUCUGGGCUCAACCCAGAGUCUGCAGGCGAAACUGUCGGGCUUGAGUAUGGGAGAGGUGAGUGGAAUUUCCGGUGUAGCGGUGAAAUGCGUAGAUAUCGGAAGGAACACCUGUGGCGAAAGCGGCUCACUGGACCAUUACUGACGCUGAUGCACGAAAGCUAGGGGAGCAAACAGCUUUAGAUACCCUGGUAGUCCUAGCCCUAAACGAUGAUUGCUUGAUGUGGAGGGUACCCAAUCCUUC